Molecule: ribosomal RNA, 483 nt
Filed under: uncultured bacterium
Lineage: Bacteria
Description: partial 16S ribosomal RNA
Rfam family: Bacterial small subunit ribosomal RNA
Source: RNAcentral
GACGAACGCUGGCGGCGUGCUUAACACAUGCAAGUCGAACGAUGAAGCUGGAGCUUGCUCCAGUGGAUUAGUGGCGAACGGGUGAGUAACACGUGAGCAAUCUGCCCUUGACUCUGGGAUAACUGCGGGGAACUGUAGCUAAUACCGGAUACGACACCUUGUGGCAUCCCGGGGUGUGGAAAGAAUUUCGGUCAAGGAUGAGCUCGCGGCCUAUCAGCUCGUUGGUGAGGUAAAGGCUCACCAAGGCGACGACGGGUAGCCGGCCUGAGAGGGUGACCGGCCACACUGGAACUGAGACACGGUCCAGACUCCUACGGGAGGCAGCAGUGGGGAAUAUUGCACAAUGGGCGAAAGCCUGAUGCAGCAACGCCGCGUGAGGGAUGACGGCCUUCGGGUUGUAAACCUCUUUUAGCAGGGAAGAAGCGAAAGUGACGGUACCUGCAGAAGAAGCACCGGCUAACUACGUGCCAGCCGCCGCGGUAA